GACGAACGCUGGCGGCGUGCUUAACACAUGCAAGUCGAACGGAAAGGCCCUGCUUUUGGGGGGUGCGCGAGUGGCGAACGGGUGAGUAACACGUGAGUAACCUGCCCUUGACUUUGGGAUAACUUCAGGAAACUGGGGCUAAUACCGGAUAGGAGCUCCUGCUGCAUGGUGGGGGUUGGAAAGUUUCGGCGGUUGGUGAUGGACUCGCGGCUUAUCAGCUUGUUGGUGGGGUAGUGGCUUACCAAGGCUUUGACGGGUAGCCGGCCUGAGAGGGUGACCGGCCACAUUGGGACUGAGAUACGGCCAAGACUCCUACGGGAGGCAGCAGUGGGGAAUAUUGAACAAUGGGCGGAAGCCUGAUGCAGCAACGCCGCGUGCGGGAUGACGGCCUUCGCGUUGUAAACCGCUUUCGCCUGUGACCAAGCGUGAGUGACGGUAAUGGGUAAAGAAGCACCGGCUAACUACGUG
Molecule: ribosomal RNA, 468 nt
Filed under: uncultured bacterium
Lineage: Bacteria
Description: partial 16S ribosomal RNA
Rfam family: Bacterial small subunit ribosomal RNA
Source: RNAcentral